AAAUUGAAGAGUUUGAUCAUGGCUCAGAUUGAACGCUGGCGGCAGGCCUAACACAUGCAAGUCGAACGGUAACAGGAAUCAGCUUGCUGAUUCGCUGACGAGUGGCGGACGGGUGAGUAAUGUCUGGGAAACUGCCUGAUGGAGGGGGAUAACUACUGGAAACGGUAGCUAAUACCGCAUAACGUCGCAAGACCAAAGAGGGGACCUU
RNAcentral lists this ribosomal RNA (208 nucleotides) under Escherichia coli. Its description in RNAcentral is "partial 16S ribosomal RNA". It matches the Rfam family "Bacterial small subunit ribosomal RNA", at positions 1 to 216 of the family's 1533-position model. Lineage: Bacteria; Pseudomonadati; Pseudomonadota; Gammaproteobacteria; Enterobacterales; Enterobacteriaceae. The record is from RNAcentral.